GCAGAUACCAAGAAGAUGCCAAUUACUACAAGGGUGAUUCAAGAGACACUAAGAGUUGCUUCAAUUUUGUCUUUUACUUUUAGAGAGGCUGUUGAGGGUGUUGAAUAUGAAGGAUAUCUGAUUCCAAAAGGAUGGAAAGUUUUGCCACUUUUCAGAAACAUUCACCAUAACCCAGAAAUCUUUCCAGAUCCUGAAAAGUUUGAUCCUACAAGAUUUGAGGUUGCACCAAAGCCCAAUACUUUUAUGCCAUUUGGCAAUGGGACCCACUCAUGUCCUGGAAAUGAGUUAGCUAAGCUGGAGAUUUUGGUCCUGCUCCAUCACCUGACCACUAAGUACAGAUGGUCUAUGGUGGGAACAGAUAAUGGGAUUCAGUAUGGCCCUUUUGCCCUUCCCCAGAAUGGUUUGCCCAUCAAAUUGUCUAAGAAAUCAUAGUUUUGCUUUCUAACUCCAAGAGAGAAAAAGGAACAAAGGGCAGUUUGUUUACAUGGAAAAAGCUUGCCUUUUAUAUGGGCUUUCUUCUUUCUUCAAAGGAAUGAUGAAGAGGGAGAGAGAGAGAGAGAGAGAGA
RNAcentral lists this unclassified non-coding RNA (566 nucleotides) under Hevea brasiliensis (rubber tree). The record is from RNAcentral. Lineage: Eukaryota; Viridiplantae; Streptophyta; Magnoliopsida; Malpighiales; Euphorbiaceae.